RNAcentral lists this ribosomal RNA (437 nucleotides) under uncultured bacterium. Its description in RNAcentral is "partial 16S ribosomal RNA". It matches the Rfam family "Bacterial small subunit ribosomal RNA", at positions 29 to 507 of the family's 1533-position model. The record is from RNAcentral.
AGCGAACGCUGGCGGCAGGCUUAACACAUGCGAGUCGAGCGGGCAUCCUUGUGGUGUCCGCGGCAGACGGGUGAGUAACGCGUGGGAACGUGCCCUUCGGUUCGGAAUAACUCAGGGAAACUUUAGCUAAUACCGGAUACGUGCGAGAGCAGAAAGGUUUAUCUGCCGAAGGAUCGGCCCGCGUCUGAUUAGCUAGUUGGUGAGGUUACGGCUCACCAAGGAGACGAUCAGUAGCUGGUCUGAGAGGAUGAUCAGCCACACUGGGACUGAGACACGGCCCAGACUCCUACGGGAGGCAGCAGUGGGGAAUAUUGGACAAUGGGGGCAACCCUGAUCCAGCCAUGCCGCGUGAGUGAUGACGGCCUUAGGGUUGUAAAGCUCUUUUCUCCGGGACGAUAAUGACGGUACCGGAGGAAUAAGCCCCGGCUAACUUCGUG